AAUAUACCUCGUUAGGUGAGGCUCCUGUACGGAGAAAUGCUGCUGCCCAAAAAUGUCCAAAGACGCCAAUGGGUCAACAGGAAUUAUCGACAUAAGGUAAUUCUUAACGUAGCUGGUUUUAGAACCUAUGCCGUACAGUGCUAAAGCUCUACGAAUGGAGGGUAUGA
Molecule: small RNA, 167 nt
Filed under: Priestia endophytica
Lineage: Bacteria; Bacillati; Bacillota; Bacilli; Caryophanales; Bacillaceae
Description: Bacillus endophyticus Magnesium sequence
Rfam family: M-box riboswitch aptamer (ykoK leader)
About the family: M-box riboswitch, also know as ykoK leader is described as a metaloregulatory RNA that sense divalent metals and function as a genetic control element of genes related to divalent metal transport in bacteria. It was first reported upstream of the B.subtilis ykoK gene and genes with related functions in other bacteria. Phylogenetic analysis of the distribution of M-box RNAs across bacterial genomes revealed that M-box riboswitches are most often employed for the regulation of Mg2+ transporter genes
Source: Rfam by way of RNAcentral